CUCUCAGUGUCUGUGGUUUGGUUUUGAUGAGUAGUAACUCUACAAAUUUCAGUAUUUGGUUUUGUCCUCGUUUCUAGAGACGCGAGCUGCGAGAAUGUUCAGAAUGUUCAUGCAAAACGGUUUUAUUUCUAUUUACCUUCUGAUUAUUUGGAAUUCAUCCAUCAUCUCAGGAAACUCUUCUGCAGUUCCUCUUCGUUUCUUACUGGGAUGUGAGGCGGUGAUUCCAUGUCGACCUGUGAAGAGCCGCUCAGACUCUUUCAAAUGGUUUUACAAGAAGAGCGACCAAAACGACCAAAUAAAAAUAUUUUUUCAAGAUAAGAAUCGAAAACGGCGUUACUCUCUCAGCCAUAAAAGAGGAAAAGUUAAGGGUGAUCGCUCCCUGGUCAUUAGCAAUUUCACUGAGCUCGAUCAAGGAUCAUACUGGUGUGAAAGCUGUGACCGAACCGAAUGCAAAAAAUCCACAGUUUUCAGAGUGACGGAAGACAUUUGGGAGGAAACUAACAGAACAGUUCAUGUUGUAGAAGGCAGGACUUUUGAACAAGUAUGUCCGGGUGAAAUAAUCCCCUCAAAAUGGACUUUUGAAGCACAAAAUCUUCGUGAUAAAUCCUCACUUGGACCAGAAUCAAAUGCUUUGACUUUCAACAAGAGCAUACGUAUCAGAGAUGUGAAAACAGCCCAUGCUGGUCGAUACACCUGCUGGACGAGAGGCUGCCGCAGAGCUCAGAAGCUUCUCACCGUUUGCUUGUGUGUUCUCACAGCUCACCAGAGAAAUGAUUCAUCCUCUUGUGCCUUGACAUGUGAUGAGGAAUCAAGUUCGACACAAACGUUUGAUGAGAACGCAACAGUAACCAGCAGUUAUGUUGCAGUAAAUUCAUAUAACACAACAGGUACAGAAGAGCCCAAAUAUCGGACUCUAGUCAGAUAUGUAGUGCCCAUGGCUCGUGUUCAUCACACUUUCCAUCUUCUUCUUUAGAUCAAGACUGUGGGCGGCAUAUUCAAAUCGCUGUUGCUGUGGAGGGAAUGACAACGCGGAAGAAGAGACUUCGGUGGUCUACUCACCCAUUGUUAUCAGGACACAAAACAAAGCAACUCAUCAUCGUAUCGCUGAAUCUAAUUGUAUUUAUAGAAAAAAAACCCAGGUUGGUGACAAUUAGGUCUUGGCCUAUGACUUCACCCGGUGUGGAUGACCCCGUUGGUGGUGUUUCCCCAUGAUGCUCAGUACCAUGCCAUGUCUCCCAAAUUCAUGUGACGAGAGAGAGAGCGAGAGAGAGAGAGAGAGAGAGAAAGAGAGAAAGAGAAAUAGAGAGAGGAAGAGAGAGUUUGUGUGUGCGUGUGUGCGCGUUCAAUUUCGUUGAAGGCGCGGCUUUUUUUAUUUUCUUAAAUAUUGAUUUUUGUUCAAAUACAGCUGUAACACAAUGUGUUGUUUUUGUGCACAUUAUAAAUAGAGAUUGAUUUGACUGAUCUUCUCCUUUAUAAAAAGUAAAGUUAGAUAGAUAGAUAGAUAGAUAGAUAGAUAGAGCACACUCGGAACCAGCGACAGGAGAAGCUGUAAUAGCGGCUGGCCACAGAGGGGACGAUGAACAGCAGAGCAUCAAACCAGCUCUGUUGAGAUGUAUGCUAUUUUGAUGGCACUGAGGUGGGUUAGAGAGAGUCAGACAAACUUAUAUGAUUUUCAACGGUGCCUCCUGGUGGAAAAUGUCAAAUGUUGCAGCGUGUAUUCUUUUCUAAAAUUUUGUUGCAACUGAAAAUUAAAUAAAUACUG
Long non-coding RNA from Salarias fasciatus (jewelled blenny), 1762 nucleotides. RefSeq lists it as uncharacterized. The transcript has 8 exons. Lineage: Eukaryota; Metazoa; Chordata; Actinopteri; Blenniiformes; Blenniidae. The record is from RefSeq and is a predicted model, not a curated record.